GAUGAACGCUGGCGGCGUGCCUAAUACAUGCAAGUCGAGCGAACAGACGAGGAGCUUGCUCCUCUGACGUUAGCGGCGGACGGGUGAGUAACACGUGGAUAACCUACCUAUAAGACUGGGAUAACUUCGGGAAACCGGAGCUAAUACCGGAUAAUCUAUUGAACCGCAUGGUUCAAUAGUGAAAGACGGUUUUGCUGUCACUUCUAGAUGGAUCCGCGCCGCAUUAGCUAGUUGGUAAGGUAACGGCUUACCAAGGCAACGAUGCGUAGCCGACCUGAGAGGGUGAUCGGCCACACUGGAACGGAGACACGGUCCAGACGCCUACGGGAGGCAGCAGUAGGGAAUCGUCCGCAAUGGGCGAAAGCCUGACGGAGCAACGCCGCGUGAGUGAGGAAGGUCUUCGGAUCGUAAAACUCUGUUAUUAGGGAAGAACAAAUGUGUAAGUAACUAUGCACGUCUUGAAGGUACAUAAUCAGAAAGCCACGGCUAACUACGUG
Molecule: ribosomal RNA, 497 nt
Filed under: uncultured bacterium
Lineage: Bacteria
Description: partial 16S ribosomal RNA
Rfam family: Bacterial small subunit ribosomal RNA
Source: RNAcentral